RNAcentral lists this ribosomal RNA (275 nucleotides) under uncultured Shigella sp. RNAcentral's name for it is "partial 16S ribosomal RNA". It matches the Rfam family "Bacterial small subunit ribosomal RNA", at positions 338 to 605 of the family's 1533-position model. The record is from RNAcentral. Lineage: Bacteria; Pseudomonadati; Pseudomonadota; Gammaproteobacteria; Enterobacterales; Enterobacteriaceae.
CCUACGGGUGGCUGCAGUGGGGAAUAUUGCACAAUGGGCGCAAGCCUGAUGCAGCCAUGCCGCGUGUAUGAAGAAGGCCUUCGGGUUGUAAAGUACUUUCAGCGGGGAGGAAGGGAGUAAAGUUAAUACCUUUGCUCAUUGACGUUACCCGCAGAAGAAGCACCGGCUAACUCCGUGCCAGCAGCCGCGGUAAUACGGAGGGUGCAAGCGUUAAUCGGAAUUACUGGGCGUAAAGCGCACGCAGGCGGUUUGUUAAGUCAGAUGUGAAAUCCCCG